Molecule: transfer RNA, 66 nt
Filed under: Megalotomus sp.
Lineage: Eukaryota; Metazoa; Arthropoda; Insecta; Hemiptera; Alydidae
Description: tRNA-Glu
Rfam family: tRNA
About the family: Transfer RNA (tRNA) molecules are approximately 80 nucleotides in length. Their secondary structure includes four short double-helical elements and three loops (D, anti-codon, and T loops). Further hydrogen bonds mediate the characteristic L-shaped molecular structure. tRNAs have two regions of fundamental functional importance: the anti-codon, which is responsible for specific mRNA codon recognition, and the 3' end, to which the tRNAs corresponding amino acid is attached (by aminoacyl-tRNA synthetases). tRNAs cope with the degeneracy of the genetic code in two manners: having more than one tRNA (with a specific anti-codon) for a particular amino acid; and 'wobble' base-pairing, i.e. permitting non-standard base-pairing at the 3rd anti-codon position.
Source: RNAcentral
AUUUAUAUAGUUUAACUUAAAACAAUUCAUUUUCAAUGAAUAAAUGAAUUUCUAAUUCUAUAAAUA